AGAGUUUGAUCAUGGCUCAGAUUGAACGCUGGCGGCAGGCUUAACACAUGCAAGUCGAACGGUAACAGAAAGUAGCUUGCUACUUUGCUGACGAGUGGCGGACGGGUGAGUAAUGCUUGGGAAUAUGCCUUAUGGUGGGGGACAACAGUUGGAAACGACUGCUAAUACCGCAUAACAUCUCCGGAUCAAAGUGGGGGACCUUCGGGCCUCACGCCAUAAGAGUAGCCCAAGUGGGAUUAGCUAGUUGGUAAGGUAAUGGCUUACCAAGGCGACGAUCCCUAGUUGGUCUUAGAGGAUGACCAGCCACACUGGAACUGAGACACGGUCCAGACUCCUACGGGAGGCAGCAGUGGGGAAUAUUGCACAAUGGGCGCAAGCCUGAUGCAGCCAUGCCGCGUGUGUGAAGAAGGCUUUCGGGUUGUAAAGCACUUUCAGCGAGGAGGAAAGGGUAUUGCUUAAUAGGUAAUAUCUGUGACGUUACUCGCGGAAGAAGCACCGGCUAACUCCGUGCCAGCAGCCGCGGUAAUACGGAGGGUGCGAGCGUUAAUCGGAAUUACUGGGCGUAAAGCGCGCGUAGGUGGUUAAUUAAGUCAGAUGUGAAAUCCCAGGGCUCAACCUUGGAACUGCAUUUGAAACUGGUUAACUAGAGUUUUGUAGAGGGUGGUAGAAUUUCAGGUGUAGCGGUGAAAUGCGUAGAGAUCUGAAGGAAUACCAGUGGCGAAGGCGGCCACCUGGACAAAGACUGACACUGAGGCGCGAAGGCGUGGGGAGCAAACGGGAUUAGAUACCCCGGUAGUCCAA
This 801-nucleotide ribosomal RNA is filed under the name uncultured bacterium. RNAcentral describes it as "bacterial SSU rRNA". It matches the Rfam family "Bacterial small subunit ribosomal RNA", at positions 8 to 798 of the family's 1533-position model. The record is from RNAcentral.